Molecule: ribosomal RNA, 460 nt
Filed under: uncultured bacterium
Lineage: Bacteria
Description: partial 16S ribosomal RNA
Rfam family: Bacterial small subunit ribosomal RNA
Source: RNAcentral
CCUACGGGUGGCUGCAGUGAGGAAUAUUGGUCAAUGGGCGAGAGCCUGAACCAGCCAAGUCGCGUGAAGGAUGACGGCCCUACGGGUUGUAAACUUCUUUUGUCAGGGAGCAAUUGAGUCCACGUGUGGUCUUAGCGAGAGUACCUGAAGAAAAAGCAUCGGCUAACUCCGUGCCAGCAGCCGCGUGAGUACGGAGGAUGCGAGCGUUAGCCGGAUUUAUUGGGUUAAAGGGGUGCGUAGGCGGAAUAUCAAGUCAGCGGUAAAAAUUCGGGGCUCAACCCAGUCGUGCCGUUGAAACUGAUGUUCUUGAGUGGGUGAGAAGUAUGCGGAAGGCGUGGUGUAGCGGUGAAAUGCAUAGAUAUCACGCAGAACUCCGAUUGCGAAGGCAGCAUACCGGCGCCCAACUGACGCUGAAGCACGAAAGCGUGGGUAUCGAACAGGAUUAGAUACCCCUGUAGUC